CGAGGAUACUCUUAUAAGACGAGAAGACCCCAUGGAGCUUUAAACCCAAUUAUAUCUCUAACCACUAUAACCAUUUAACCACUUAGAACUUAUAUACUUGGUUUUAGGUUGGGGCGACCACGGAGCACAACCAAACCUCCACGAUGAACGGAACAACCCCCUUAUCUGAGAAUUACACUUCUAAGAAUUAGCACACUAACAUAAAAUGACCCAUUAUUGAUCAACGAACCAAGUUACCCUGGGGAUAACAGCGCAAUCCAUUUUAAGAGCCCCUAUCGACAAAUGGGUUUACGACCUCGAUGUUGGAUCAGGAUAUCCCAGUGGUGCAGCAGCUGCUAAAGGUUCGUUUGUUCAACGAUUAAAAUCCU
This 368-nucleotide ribosomal RNA is filed under the name Mantidactylus catalai. Its description in RNAcentral is "partial 16S ribosomal RNA". It matches the Rfam family "Bacterial large subunit ribosomal RNA", at positions 2076 to 2597 of the family's 2925-position model. Lineage: Eukaryota; Metazoa; Chordata; Amphibia; Anura; Mantellidae. The record is from RNAcentral.